GCGACCCCAGGACAGGCGAGG
Molecule: ribosomal RNA, 21 nt
Filed under: Dendrobium chrysotoxum
Lineage: Eukaryota; Viridiplantae; Streptophyta; Magnoliopsida; Asparagales; Orchidaceae
Description: partial 26S ribosomal RNA
Source: RNAcentral